Sapajus apella (tufted capuchin) is the source of this 588-nucleotide RNA transcript. It is a transcript of the gene named 40S ribosomal protein S25 pseudogene, with no coding region annotated. The record is from RefSeq and is a predicted model, not a curated record. The transcript has a single exon. Lineage: Eukaryota; Metazoa; Chordata; Mammalia; Primates; Cebidae.
UAAUCUCUUAGGUUCUGCCUCUGAAUUGUGCUAUUUUGGAAUUAAAGGAACAAUGCAGCAUCUGUCUAAAGUAACUAGAGGCCAGCCUUACUUGAAAGAAAGCAGUCAUUAUCUACUGAUGUCCUGGUUUAAAAAUAUAUUUCAGCCUUUUUGUCCGACAUCUUAACGCGGUUGUAGUGUUCGCCGCUGCUCUCCGAGCUUCGCAAUGCCGCCCAAGGACGACAAGAAGAAGAAAGACGCCAGAAAGUCAGCCAAGAAAGAAGAAGUGGUCCAAAGGCAAAGUUCGGGACAAGCUCAAUAACUUGGUCUUGUUUGACAAAGCUACCUAUGACAAACUCUGUAAAGAAGUUCCCAACUAUAAGCUUAUAACUCCAGCUGUGGUCUCGGAGAGACUGAAGAUUCGAGGCUCCCUUGUCAGGGCAGCCCUUCAGGAGCUCCUUAGCAAAGGACUUAUCAAACUGGUUUCAAAGCACAGAGCUCAAGUAAUUUACACCAGAAAUACCAAGGGUGGAGAUGCUCCAGCUGCUGGUGAAGACACAUGAAUAGGUCCAACCAACUGUACAUUUGGAAAAAUAAAACUUUAUUAAA